RNAcentral lists this ribosomal RNA (454 nucleotides) under uncultured bacterium. RNAcentral describes it as "partial 16S ribosomal RNA". It matches the Rfam family "Bacterial small subunit ribosomal RNA", at positions 28 to 507 of the family's 1533-position model. The record is from RNAcentral.
GAUGAACGCUGACCGAAUGCUUAACACAUGCAAGUCCACUUGAACUUCGGUUUGGGUGGCGGACGGGUGAGUAACGCGUAAAGAACUUGCCUCACAGAUAGGGACAACAUUUGGAAACGAAUGCUAAUACCUGAUAUUAUGAUUAUAUGGCAUCGUAUAAUUAUGAAAGCUAUAUGCGCUGUGAGAGAGCUUUGCGUCCCAUUAGCUAGUUGGAGAGGUAACGGCUCACCAAGGCGAUGAUGGGUAGCCGGCCUGAGAGGGUGAUCGGCCACAAGGGGACUGAGACACGGCCCUUACUCCUACGGGAGGCAGCAGUGGGGAAUAUUGGACAAUGGACCAAGAGUCUGAUCCAGCAAUUCUGUGUGCACGAUGAAGUUUUUCGGAAUGUAAAGUGCUUUCAGUUGGGAAGAAAAAAAUGACGGUACCAACAGAAGAAGAGACGGCUAAAUACGUG